UUAAGUCCCGCAACGAGCGCAACCCUUAUUGUUAGUUGCUACCAUUUAGUUGAGCACUCUAGCGAGACUGCCCGGGUUAACCGGGAGGAAGGUGGGGAUGACGUCAAAUCAUCAUGCCCCUUAUGUCUAGGGCUACACACGUGCUACAAUGGUCGGUACAAUGAGAUGCAACCUCGCGAGAGUGAGCAAAACUAUAAAACCGAUCUCAGUUCGGAUUGUAGGCUGAAACUCGCCUACAUGAAGCUGGAGUUGCUAGUAAUCGCGAAUCAGAAUGUCGCGGUGAAUACGUUCCCGGGCCUU
RNAcentral lists this ribosomal RNA (300 nucleotides) under uncultured Clostridium sp. RNAcentral's name for it is "bacterial SSU rRNA". It matches the Rfam family "Bacterial small subunit ribosomal RNA", at positions 1080 to 1382 of the family's 1533-position model. Lineage: Bacteria; Bacillati; Bacillota; Clostridia; Eubacteriales; Clostridiaceae. The record is from RNAcentral.